GACGAACGCUGGCGGCGUGCCUAAUACAUGCAAGUAGAACGCUGAAGGAGGAGCUUGCUUCUCUGGAUGAGUUGCGAACGGGUGAGUAACGCGUAGGUAACCUGCCUGGUAGCGGGGGAUAACUAUUGGAAACGAUAGCUAAUACCGCAUAAGAGUAGAUGUUGCAUGACAUUUGCUUAAAAGGUGCAAUUGCAUCACUACCAGAUGGACCUGCGUUGUAUUAGCUAGUUGGUGGGGUAACGGCUCACCAAGGCGACGAUACAUAGCCGACCUGAGAGGGUGAUCGGCCACACUGGGACUGAGACACGGCCCAGACUCCUACGGGAGGCAGCAGUAGGGAAUCUUCGGCAAUGGACGGAAGUCUGACCGAGCAACGCCGCGUGAGUGAAGAAGGUUGUCGGAUCGUAAAGCUCUGUUGUAAGGGAAGAACGAGUGUGAGAGUGGAAAGUUCACACUGUGACGGUAUCUUACCAGAAAGGGACGGCUAACUACGUG
Molecule: ribosomal RNA, 495 nt
Filed under: uncultured bacterium
Lineage: Bacteria
Description: partial 16S ribosomal RNA
Rfam family: Bacterial small subunit ribosomal RNA
Source: RNAcentral